CAAGGACUAAGCCAUGCAAGUGUAAGUAUGAGUGAAUUGUACAACGAAACUGCGAAUGGCUCGGUAAAACAGCUAUAGUUUCUUCGAUGGUAAACUACUCGGAUAACCGUAGUAAUUCUAGAGCUAAUACGUGCCACAAAACGACGCAAGUCGUGGUAUAAAUUGGAGAUACAAACCAACGUUUGGUGAUUCACAAUUUCUUUUCUGAUUGCACUAUGUGCGACGCAUCGUUCAAAUUUCUGACCUAUCAACUUUGGAUGGUAAGGUAGUGUCUUACCAUGGUUGUGACGGGUAACGGACCGUGGGUGCGGGACUCCGGAGAGGGAGCCUGAGAAACGGCUACCACAUCC
This 350-nucleotide ribosomal RNA is filed under the name Phyllymenia turuturu. RNAcentral describes it as "Grateloupia turuturu SSU rRNA". It matches the Rfam family "Eukaryotic small subunit ribosomal RNA", at positions 38 to 417 of the family's 1831-position model. Lineage: Eukaryota; Rhodophyta; Florideophyceae; Halymeniales; Halymeniaceae. The record is from RNAcentral.